AGUGAACGUUGGCGGCGUGGAUUAGGCAUGCAAGUCGAGCGAGAACCGUAGCAAUACGGGGACAGCGGCGAAAGGGACAGUAAUGUGUAGGUACCUACCUCCGGGUUCGGGAUAGCUGCGGGAAACUGCAGGUAAUACCGAAUAACGUCUCCGGACCAAAGGUGUGAUUCCACCUGGAGAGGGGCCUGCAUCCUAUUAGCUUGUUGGCGGGGUAACGGCCCACCAAGGCGACGAUGGGUAGCGGGUGUGAGAGCACGACCCGCGUCAUUGGGACUGGGACACUGCCCAGACCCCUACGGGUGGCUGCAGUCGAGAGUCUUCGGCAAUGGGCGCAAGCCUGACCGAGCGACGCCGCGUGCGGGAUGAAGGCCUUCGGGUUGUAAACCGCUGUCGUAGAGGAGGAAGUGCAGGGGGGUUCUCCCCUCUGUUUGACCUAUUCUAGGAGGAAGGACGGGCUAAGUUCGUGCCAGCCGCCGCCGUAA
RNAcentral lists this ribosomal RNA (482 nucleotides) under uncultured bacterium. Its description in RNAcentral is "partial 16S ribosomal RNA". It matches the Rfam family "Bacterial small subunit ribosomal RNA", at positions 28 to 523 of the family's 1533-position model. The record is from RNAcentral.